GACGAACGCUGGCGGCGUGCUUAACACAUGCAAGUCGAACGGAAAGGCCCUGCUUUUGUGGGGUGCUCGAGUGGCGAACGGGUGAGUAACACGUGAGUAACCUGCCCUUGACUUUGGGAUAACUUCAGGAAACUUGGGCUAAUACCGGAUAGGAGCUCCUGCUUCAUGGUGGGGGUUGGAAAGUUUCGGCGGUUGGGGAUGGACUCGCGGCUUAUCAGCUUGUUGGUGGGGUAGUGGCUUACCAAGGCUUUGACGGGUAGCCGGCCUGAGAGGGUGACCGGCCACAUUGGGACUGAGAUACGGCCCAGCCUCCUACGGGAGGCAGCAGUGGGGAAUAUUGCACAAUGGGCGGAAGCCUGAUGCAGCAACGCCGCGUGCGGGAUGACGGCCUUCGGGUUGUAAACCGCUUUCGCCUGUGACGAAGCGUGAGUGACGGUAAUGGGUAAAGAAGCACCGGCUAACUACGUG
RNAcentral lists this ribosomal RNA (468 nucleotides) under uncultured bacterium. RNAcentral describes it as "partial 16S ribosomal RNA". It matches the Rfam family "Bacterial small subunit ribosomal RNA", at positions 28 to 507 of the family's 1533-position model. The record is from RNAcentral.